Molecule: long non-coding RNA, 156 nt
Filed under: Chinchilla lanigera (long-tailed chinchilla)
Lineage: Eukaryota; Metazoa; Chordata; Mammalia; Rodentia; Chinchillidae
Description: lncRNA (ENSCLAG00000026118.1)
Source: RNAcentral
CAGAAAUUCAACCGUUAGAGGCAAAAAUGAAAUGGCCAUUCAUGUCUCAGAAGGCAAAGGAACUCCAUAUUGAACGAGACAGACUGCUUUGUGAGACAUCUAACCUCCUUUACACGCCACGCAACUACCCUCAAACAGAAGAAAAAGAAAAUCCAC